AGGCGGAUUCUAUGCACAGAUGAUGAUCAAACCUAUUGAUCUCAUUCAGAUACUCAGGGAGAAGAUCUGAUAAAGCUGAAAAUUUAUCUUUAUUUUCUGCUCUGUGGACACAUGACAGUCCUGCAGGCACAAUCACAUCUUUCCCGCACUGAGGUCCCGCAUCACUCUUUUCCUUAUAAAGCAACUACGGUUCCUGGAUCAUCUGGUCCUGAAGAGCAGAACAUCAAGGAGGUGCUGACUGAGGCAGGGACACUGGCGCAUAGACUGGGUAGCUUGCUGUG
Long non-coding RNA from Mastomys coucha (southern multimammate mouse), 281 nucleotides. RefSeq lists it as uncharacterized. The transcript has 3 exons. Lineage: Eukaryota; Metazoa; Chordata; Mammalia; Rodentia; Muridae. The record is from RefSeq and is a predicted model, not a curated record.